This is a long non-coding RNA of Medicago truncatula (barrel medic), 865 nucleotides long. RefSeq lists it as uncharacterized. NCBI's taxonomy places the organism in Eukaryota, Viridiplantae, Streptophyta, Magnoliopsida, Fabales, Fabaceae. The transcript has 3 exons. The record is from RefSeq and is a predicted model, not a curated record.
UAAGCUCUUUCCACCUCGUUUGUUGCAAUUAGCUAACCCAUGUUUUAUUUUUCACUCAAUUGUUUUCAAUUUUCGCCAAAAAAAUCCCUUCCCUAUUUUUUUCUUUUUAAACCUCUUUUUUUAGAAACACACGCAGAGAGAUAUGAAGAAGCGAAAGAAGAAGAUCACCUACCAACGUCGUUUUCAACAUAUUGUUUGGUCUUAGCACAAAUCUACGGCAUGACAUCCACGCACAAAUCUACUUCAUACUUAUGUUGUUCAUUAUGUUGAACACCAAAGUGGUGGAAAUGAAGCUUGUUCGGGACAAAGAGGGUUUUGAUUUUCGACGUCCACAUACAUUUUUUUCUAAGGGAUUCCAUUUGGAAUAAGAACUGUCGAUCCAUCGAUUCUAACAUGGCCUUUGUGGGUUAUGUUGAGAGUGUUUCGAAUCUAUACACUUCAGAGAUACGUUCCAUGUGGCUGGCUGAUCUAAUUGAUGACAAAUUUAAGCUCCAAGAGUGCUUAGAAGAUGCUUACACAAACAAUUGAUUAAGGACAUGGAAACAAUGAAAAAAUCUACUUACAAAAGGAAUUGCAUCACAACAUUUGGUAUCAAUCAUAAUGAUGAAAUACAUGAAUAUUUGGGUUGGCAUACUUGGAGGAAGAAGAACUUCAAAGAGAUAUUUACUCCUUACACUGUUGGAGACUAUAAGAAGAAAGAUUGAGAUUUCUAUUUGGUUCAUAACGACUGUUCUAUUUUAUUGUUGCAUUUAAUAUGAUGAUUUUGUGCAUGAAAAAAAUGUAGGUGGAUAUUCAAUAUAAGUUGUGUGUUCCUUGUUCUUUAUAAAGAAUAAUUGAUCGGUUAAUUUUUCUUUUUUUUACUGAA